GACGAACGCUGGCGGCGUGCCUAACACAUGCAAGUCGAACGGGGUGAUUCCUUCGGGGAUCACUUAGUGGCGGACGGGUGAGUAACGCGUGAGCAACCUGCCUCUUACAGGGGGAUAACGCAUCGAAAGAUGUGCUAAUACCGCGUAAGACCACGGUACCGCAUGGUACAGGGGUCAAAGGAGCAAUCCGGUAAGAGAUGGGCUCGCGUCCGAUUAGCUAGUUGGUGAGAUAAAAGCCACCAAGGCGACGAUCGGUAGCCGACCUGAGAGGGUGAUCGGCCACGAUUGGAACUGAGAAACGGUCCAGACUCCUACGGGAGGCAGCAGUGGGGAAUAUUGGGCAAUGGGCGAAAGGCCUGACCCAGCAACGCCGCGUGAGGGAAGAAGGGUUUCGGCUC
This 398-nucleotide ribosomal RNA is filed under the name uncultured bacterium. RNAcentral's name for it is "bacterial SSU rRNA". It matches the Rfam family "Bacterial small subunit ribosomal RNA", at positions 28 to 424 of the family's 1533-position model. The record is from RNAcentral.